GAUGAACGCUGGCGGCGUGCCUAAUACAUGCAAGUCGAGCGAACAGACGAGGAGCUUGCUCCUCUGACGUUAGCGGCGGACGGGUGAGUAACACGUGGAUAACCUACCUAUAAGACUGGGAUAACUUCGGGAAACCGGAGCUAAUACCGGAUAAUAUAUUGAACCGCAUGGUUCAAUAGUGAAAGACGGUUUUGCUGUCACUUAUAGAUGGAUCCGCGCCGCAUUAGCUAGUUGGUAAGGUAACGGCUUACCAAGGCAACGAUGCGUAGCCGACCUGAGAGGGUGAUCGGCCACACGGGAACUGAGACACGGUCCAGACUCCUACGGGAGGCAGCAGUAGGGAAUCGUCCGGAAUGGGCGAAAGCCUGACGGAGCAACGCCGCGGGAGUGAUGAAGGUCUUCGGAUCGUAAAACUCUGUUAUUAGGGAAGAACAAAUGUGUAAGUAACUAUGCACGUCUUGACGGUACCUAAUCAGAAAGCCACGGCUAACUACGUG
This 497-nucleotide ribosomal RNA is filed under the name uncultured bacterium. RNAcentral's name for it is "partial 16S ribosomal RNA". It matches the Rfam family "Bacterial small subunit ribosomal RNA", at positions 28 to 507 of the family's 1533-position model. The record is from RNAcentral.